UUAUCAGAGAGUUUGAUCCUGGCUCAGGAUGAACGCUGGCGGCGUGCUUAACACAUGCAAGUCGAACGGACUGAGGACCUUCGGGUC
RNAcentral lists this ribosomal RNA (87 nucleotides) under Candidatus Blautia equi. RNAcentral's name for it is "partial 16S ribosomal RNA". It matches the Rfam family "Bacterial small subunit ribosomal RNA", at positions 1 to 86 of the family's 1533-position model. The record is from RNAcentral. Lineage: Bacteria; Bacillati; Bacillota; Clostridia; Lachnospirales; Lachnospiraceae.